RNAcentral lists this transfer RNA (78 nucleotides) under Vibrio cholerae O1 biovar El Tor. RNAcentral's name for it is "tRNA-Arg". It matches the Rfam family "tRNA". From Rfam's summary of the family: Transfer RNA (tRNA) molecules are approximately 80 nucleotides in length. Their secondary structure includes four short double-helical elements and three loops (D, anti-codon, and T loops). The record is from RNAcentral. RNAcentral also lists the same sequence under 1 other name. Lineage: Bacteria; Pseudomonadati; Pseudomonadota; Gammaproteobacteria; Vibrionales; Vibrionaceae.
GCGCGCCUUAGCUCAGUUGGAUAGAGCACGUGCCUUCUAAGCAUGUGGUCACAGGUUCGAAUCCUGUAGGGCGUGCCA